RNAcentral lists this microRNA precursor (147 nucleotides) under Mus pahari (shrew mouse). RNAcentral describes it as "miRNA (MGP_PahariEiJ_G0007151.1)". The record is from RNAcentral. Lineage: Eukaryota; Metazoa; Chordata; Mammalia; Rodentia; Muridae.
AAGCCCAGUGUUCUCCAGUCCAUGGCUUCUUCACAGAGUGUGGCCAGCUGGAGAUUAUGAUGCCUGCCACUGUCCCACGAACCAUCUCUGCUCGCCCAUUUCUAAUACUCAGCACGUGUGGCACAGAUUUAAGGACUACAAAGGCUC